AAGGAUUUAAGUUAAUUUAAACUUUUAACCUUCAAAGUUAAAUAUAGGUAUUACCUAAGCCUUA
Molecule: transfer RNA, 64 nt
Filed under: Curculionoidea sp. 29 KM-2017
Lineage: Eukaryota; Metazoa; Arthropoda; Insecta; Coleoptera
Description: tRNA-Trp
Source: RNAcentral